GAUGAAGAACGCAGUGAAAUGCGAUACGUAAUGUGAAUUGCAGAAUUCAGUGAAUCAUCGAAUCUUUGAACGCACAUUGCGCCCGCCAGCACUCUGGCGGGCAUGCCUGUUCGAGCGCCAUUUCAACCAUCAAGCCCCAGGCUUGCGUUGGAGCCCUGCGGCUGCCGCAGCCUCCUAAAAGCAGUGGCGGGCUCGCUAUCACACCGAGUGCAGUAGAUUACUCUUCGCUCAGGGCGUGCAGCGGGUUCCGGCCGUGAAACCCCCUACUUUUAAAGGUUGACCUCGGAUCAGGUAGGAAUACCCGCUGAACUUAAGCAUAUCAAUAAGCGGAGGA
Molecule: unclassified non-coding RNA, 334 nt
Filed under: soil metagenome
Description: partial contains 5.8S ribosomal RNA, internal transcribed spacer 2, and large subunit ribosomal RNA
Rfam family: 5.8S ribosomal RNA (bases 1-120)
Source: RNAcentral